This 429-nucleotide ribosomal RNA is filed under the name Gemmatimonadota bacterium. Its description in RNAcentral is "Gemmatimonadetes bacterium partial 16S ribosomal RNA". It matches the Rfam family "Bacterial small subunit ribosomal RNA", at positions 355 to 776 of the family's 1533-position model. Lineage: Bacteria; Pseudomonadati; Gemmatimonadota. The record is from RNAcentral.
UAGGGAAUCUUCGGCAAUGGACGAAAGCCUGACCGAGCAACGCCGCGUGAGUGAAGAAGGCUUUCGGAUCGUAAAACUCUGUUGUUAGAGAAGAACAAGGACGUUAGUAACUGAACGUCCACUGACGGUAUCUAACCAGAAAGCCACGGCUAACUACGUGCCAGCAGCCGCGGUAAUACGUAGGUGGCAAGCGUUGUCCGGAUUUAUUGGGCGUAAAGCGAGCGCAGGCGGUUUCUUAAGUCUGAUGUGAAAGCCCCCGGCUCAACCGGGGAGGGUCAUUGGAAACUGGGAGACUUGAGUGCAGAAGAGGAGAGUGGAAUUCCAUGUGUAGCGGUGAAAUGCGUAGAUAUAUGGAGGAACACCAGUGGCGAAGGCGGCUCUCUGGUCUGUAACUGACGCUGAGGCUCGAAAGCGUGGGGAGCAAACAGG